UUAAUCUUGAUCAAAUGAAGUUCCCAUUUUUUCGUACCGAAAGACAAAACGUAGUCAACUGGAAGGUUGGGUACGAUGAAGUUUCUGUUUCGAAUGGUAACAAAGUUUAACAAGAAGCCUUCACCAAUGCCCUUUCAUCCAUUUAGAGAGAGAGAGAGAGAGAGAGAGAGAGAGAGAGAGAGAAGUACAAAUGAGAGACAGCUAGGCUAGUUUCUCUUCGGUGAGUUCAGUAGGUGCGGGAACUCCUUUCAAGUCUUAAACCCUAAACUGAAACGAGCUCUCACAUCAUAAACCUCUUACAAACCCCAAACACAAAACUGUUAGCUUUAACUGAACAGACAUUGGAAGCAUAACGAACCCUUUGGAAACCCAACAAAGGGAAGCAACAAAGAUGAAGACUCUGAGUACGAAACUGCUGCAACAGUUAUCCUCCAAACAAGCUAUUCGUCGCCAUGCAUAUUCUACUAAGGCAAUCCCAGAUUUUGGGCAACCAACUCCAGCAUCUCAUCCUCAGUUAAUGAAGGAAGGGGAAAUUACACCUGGUAUAACUUCUGAGGAAUACAUCUCAAGACGAAAAAGAUUGUUGGAACUUCUUCCAGAGAAAAGCUUGGCCAUCAUUGCUGCGGCCCCUGUAAAGAUGAUGACUGAUGUUGUGCCAUACACAUUUCGACAAGAUGCAGAUUACUUGUAUCUUACCGGUUGCCAACAACCUGGUGGAGUGGCAGUAUUAAGUCAAGAGUGUGGUUUAUGCAUGUUCAUGCCGGAAGCAAAAGCUCACGACAUUGUUUGGCAAGGACAAACAGCUGGAGUUGAUGCAGCACUGGAGAUGUUCAAGGCUGAGAAAGCAUAUCCCAUGAGCAAAUUAAAUGAGAUCCUUCCAGAUAUGAUUAAAAGAUCUUGCAAAUUGUUCCACAAUACGUUGACAGCCACACCGACCUAUACAGAUAUGGAGACCUUUCAAAAGGCAGCUCAUGUUGGGAAAGUGAGUGACCUUUCCAUUUUCACCCAUGAGUUACGUUGGGUAAAAUCUCCUGCUGAACUUAAGUUAAUGAAAGAAUCUGCAUCAAUUGCUUGUCAGGCUCUUUUGCAGACAAUGUUGCAUUCCAAAACAUAUCCUUAUGAGGCCAUGCUAUCAGCAAAGGUUGAAUAUGAAUGCAGAUUGAGAGGUGCCCAGAGAAUGGCAUUUAACCCUGUGGUUGGUGGUGGGCCUAAUGGUAGUGUAAUACACUAUUCUCGAAAUGAUCAGAAAAUUAAAGAUGGGGAACUUGUUCUGAUGGAUGUUGGAUGUGAGCUGCAUGGUUAUUGCAGUGAUCUUACUCGUACCUGGCCACCCUGUGGAAGCUUUUCUUCUGUACAAGAAGAGGUUUAUGAUCUCAUACUACAAACAAACAAGGAAUGUAUGAGGCUUUGCAAACCCGGUGCUAGCAUUCGUCAAAUACACAACUAUUCGGUUGAACUGCUUUUCAAAGGACUGAAGGAAAUUGGGAUUUUGAAAAGGGAUCAAUUUAGAUCCUAUCACCAAUUGAACCCAACGUCAAUAGGUCACUAUCUAGGAAUGGAUGUCCAUGAUAGUUCCAUGAUCAGCUAUGACCGUCCUUUGAAGCCAGGAGUAGUGAUUACCAUUGAGCCAGGAAUCUAUCUCCCAUCGAGUCUUGAUGGUCCACAGAGGUAUUUAUGGAGUCCACUUGGCGAAAUAAAAGUUCCAUUGUAAAUUCAAAACCUCACAACCUGGUACCAAGGCAUUGGAAUAAGGAUUGAAGAUGAGGUUCUGAUUACGGAAACGGGUUGUGAGGUUCUUACUGGAUCAAUGCCAAAAGAGAUCAAACACAUUGAAUCCUUGCUGAACAAUUACAGUCAUGGAAUAGAAAUGGAGGGCCAUAACAACAUAAAAGCUGCAACCAGAUGAUGGUGUCUUGACGUAUGUCAGGACCUUCUGGCAGUGGAAAUCAUUUCUGAUGCCUAUUCGGACUCAAAGGAGAUAUGAUUUCCAGUUCUGCGCAAGUUUCCAGAUUUCCUGCGAAAAUGGCCUGUCAUGUGGCCUCUAUGUAUACCCUUACCCUUGUCUAUCAGAAUCCUCCAUGUUCCUCCUUGUUUUGUUCCAUAUCGCCGGUAAGAGAGAGCUAUCACUCGAUUCUUUUCACCUUUAGGCUUGCAAGUUUGUAAGCACCUAUUUAAUUGUUUUGCAUUGAUAAUCAAUAAAUUUACCAUUAAUCAGGGGGAAAAUUAGUUCCUUAUUUGCAUUCA
Theobroma cacao (cacao) is the source of this 2244-nucleotide RNA transcript. It is a transcript of the gene named Metallopeptidase M24 family protein, with no coding region annotated. The record is from RefSeq and is a predicted model, not a curated record. NCBI's taxonomy places the organism in Eukaryota, Viridiplantae, Streptophyta, Magnoliopsida, Malvales, Malvaceae.